AUAAAGAUAUAUUGGUGAUGUGAAUACACACUCAUUAUUUUUCUUUCUUACUUUAUUUGUCAGUAACUGCCAGAAAUGUUGUGAGCAAUUUUCUAGUGGCGUCAGUCAUGAGGAGUGAACGGCAGGGGGCGACAGAGUGCUGUGUUUGCGAGCGAUCGAUCCUGCUCUCUCAGCACCGUUUUCUUUUCUAGGCCUUUGCCUCCUAAACUGGUCCACACUCUCCGUCAUCAGCACCACUGAGUCAUCGCAGUUCGCUUUGAAUUAUCACUCUGCAAAAAAAAAGAAAAAAAAGAACAAGAACACUCUUGGCUUGGAGGCAGGAUGAGUUGAGGCUGGCUGUGUAGUGAUCUUAUAUAAUUCACAAAUUUCCAGGAGUAAGGGGGAGGACGGAAGCUUCACAUGACCAUAAAAACCAUACGGACAGGAGAGCUGACCAGGUGUGAGGGUUACCACGACAACUACAAAGAGAGAGAGCAGGCUCUCCAGUGUUUACAGGCUGUUUGACGUCAGAGAGAUUCUUAAUCUGUGGAAAUAAGAGGAUGCAGUUUAGCUCAAAAUAUCACUGUUUCACCUGCAUCACAUGCACGUUUAGAGGACUAUCCUAUUUUCACAGUGUGGUAGGGUUUUGGUCAGUGAUCACAUACUGUGGGACUCUUCCACUGAGAUUUCUGUGUGAAUCAUCAUGAUAUAGAUUACAUUUCUGCUGAAUACUUUUCAGAAUGACCAAAACAGUAUUGAUGUGUGUGUUUGGUAUGAGAUUUUAGUCACACAUGGGCCAUCUGUUUGCCUCAUAUCAUUUGAUGACUCUUUAGUGUCUGUGUUUUAUAUCGUUACUUUCUAAAUUAAAUUACUUUUAAACUGUUUAUGACUUAGCUGACUGUCACACAUUAUCCUGGUUACUAACUUGUGUAUAUGAUAAUACAGAGUCAUAGAUUUUUCUUUUGAUCACCACCAACCCAUAAUAAUUAGCUAGUAAACCCUUGGACUGCUAUGAAAAUGACACAGGUACAAUCCCAGGUUAGGGAAACCUGUAAAUUAGAGACUUGCUGAGAGAACCUUAUCACCACUGUAUCCCUGAGCUAACCUUAAAUUGGUACAUGAUUUUCACAUGUAAAAUCAACCAUAACAACCAUGGGUAAUUGAAAAUAAUCACUGAUAUCUCCACCUUCACUUGUUUGAAAAUUUGAUUUUGUAAUCAUAUGUAAUGUGUAGAAGGUAGGAUGUGAAUUGAAAAAUGAUACCUUUCACUGGAUAUAGAAAUUCCAUUAUUGAAGAGCAGGUUUCUAUAAAACUAGGGCAACUGGAAAGAAAGAGAAUGACAGGAGAAAAAGCAAGAAAGACAGCUAUUACAGUACCUGAGGUAAAGUUACUGGUGAGAAAGCUCUGCCAAUGAGGAAAAGAAUUUCUCAGAAUUAGGUUUCAUCCUUAUAAACUCUUGUGUGAACCCAGCACACUUGAUCUGAAAUGAUUUCUCAUCACUUGAAUUGACUCGUAGCACUCCAGAGCAAAUAAUCGGAAGGAGGAGAACAAGCAGCCAAAUUGGUGAAAUGAAUCAAUGGAAUCAAUCUAUGUAAUCAGACACUGAAUCAUCUUCAUCAUCUUCCACUCAUGUAUGUGUCUUAUCCCCCUAGUGAAUUGAUGUAUUGCAGUUACAUAACUGGAAAGUUAUCCAAUCAGACAGAGAUCAUUUGUCAUUCAAAAUUAUGAAAAAAUAGGUUUUGUGAAGAAUGCACGGAAGAGUAUUGGUGCAUGGUCAAUAAUGGUUCUGAUUUCAUAAACAAACCCUCUGUACUUUAUAAUCCAGACACUAACAGAGGACAUCACGCUGUUUAUGGGCCAGCUCCGUUUUAAUGCUAGUUCCUAAAUUUCAUCUAGUUAUUUAGUUACAGUUUAGCUCACAUUUAAGACUGUUAUUGUCAGGACAGUAUAUUUACUGCAGAGUGAAGAAUUUAACAAAUAAAACAAGACCUCUGAAGUCAUUAUGUCUAUUUACAUGUGUCCUCUUGCAUUGUUAAAUUCAUAUUUUUGCUUUCAGAGUGUAUCUGAGAUCAAU
Molecule: long non-coding RNA, 2053 nt
Organism: Megalobrama amblycephala (Wuchang bream)
Lineage: Eukaryota; Metazoa; Chordata; Actinopteri; Cypriniformes; Xenocyprididae
Exons: 3
Source: RefSeq, a predicted model, not a curated record